GCGGGUCUCUCACUUAUCAAAGUUGGCGUCUGUUCUCGCGUUUCUGUUUCAAUGUUGUCAAACCUGGUUCAGUAAAACAGUAUCAUAACCUAGGUGGUGAAAUACGGACAAAAGCGGUGUUUGGACGGUUGGUCAAGCCAGUCUUUAGACACAACCGUCAUUCCAAACCUGAUUUUAUUUCCUUUUCGUCCUUGCUGUGUCCAGCCCGAAGAAACUCCUCCACUCUCCCAUGAGGUGCCCAGGGUCCUUCUAAGCUAAGUCAGCCUUGGCUCUCUCAAACUCCUCCUCCAGGGACUGAUGUCUGGACAGGAGGGCGCUACCCCACCGCUGCUCCUUACUUA
Long non-coding RNA from Cheilinus undulatus (humphead wrasse), 341 nucleotides. RefSeq lists it as uncharacterized. The transcript is spliced from 3 exons. The record is from RefSeq and is a predicted model, not a curated record. Lineage: Eukaryota; Metazoa; Chordata; Actinopteri; Labriformes; Labridae.